RNAcentral lists this long non-coding RNA (290 nucleotides) under Junco hyemalis (dark-eyed junco). RNAcentral's name for it is "lncRNA (ENSJHYG00000008847.1)". Lineage: Eukaryota; Metazoa; Chordata; Aves; Passeriformes; Passerellidae. The record is from RNAcentral.
GAGAAGGGCUCUUCAGAGCCUGCCCUCCCAGGCUGCAGGCUGGCAUGAAGACUGUAGGUUAGAUGAACCAAUGGAUUUGCUGCACCCUAAGCACAGGAACAACAAGCAUUCUUCUAUGUAAAUGAAUCAAAAAAGGAAAGAACACAAAAAGCAAUUCAGACAUCAAAGACACAAAGCUUCAGUGAGGAUGUUGCACUGGUCACAGAUAAAAUGUAUGAACACAACUGAUAAUUUCACUGGAAAUUGCAGCAUAAAACUUCGUGACCUUUUCUGUCAGAACAAUACAUUGG